GCCUUAGAUGUUCUGGGCCGCACGCGUGCUACACUGAGUGGAUCAGCGGGUCAGGUUGCGCGAAAGUGUUUCCUAAUCUUUAAAUCCGCUCGUGAUGGGGAUUGACGGUUGCAAUUUUCCGUCAUGAACGAGGAAUACCUUGUAAGCGCGGGUCAUCAUCCCGCGCUGAAUACGUCCCUGCCCUUUGUACACACCGCCCGUCGCUCCUACCGAUUGAGUGGUCCGGUGAGGCUUUGGGAUCUGAGCGGAAAGAGCGUUUCGCUGUUUCUGCCCGGAAAACUCAGUCGAACCUUAUCAUUUAGAGGAAGGAGAAGUCGUAACG
This 322-nucleotide ribosomal RNA is filed under the name uncultured eukaryote. Its description in RNAcentral is "partial 18S ribosomal RNA". It matches the Rfam family "Eukaryotic small subunit ribosomal RNA", at positions 1470 to 1796 of the family's 1831-position model. The record is from RNAcentral.